GACGAACGCUGGCGGCGUGCUUAACACAUGCAAGUCGAGCGGAAAGGCCACUUUGGUGGUACUCGAGCGGCGAACGGGUGAGUAACACGUGAGUAAUCUGCCCCUGGCUUUGGGAUAGCCACCGGAAACGGUGAUUAAUACCGGAUACGACCACUUCUCGCAUGGGAUGGUGGUGGAAAGUUUUUUCGGCCAGGGAUGUGCUCGCGGCCUAUCAGCUUGAUGGUGAGGUAAUGGCUCACCAUGGCUUCGACGGGUAGCCGGCCUGAGAGGGUGACCGGUCACACUGGGACUGAGACAUGGCCCAGACUCCUACGGGAGGCAGCAGUGGGGAAUAUUGGACAAUGGGCGGAAGCCUGAUCCAGCAACGCCGCGUGAGGGAUGACGCCUUCGGGUUGUAAACCUCUUUCAGCAGGGACGAAGCGCAAGUGACGGUACCUGCAGAAGAAGCACCGGCCAACUACGUGCCAGCCGCCGCUGUAA
RNAcentral lists this ribosomal RNA (480 nucleotides) under uncultured bacterium. RNAcentral describes it as "partial 16S ribosomal RNA". It matches the Rfam family "Bacterial small subunit ribosomal RNA", at positions 28 to 523 of the family's 1533-position model. The record is from RNAcentral.